UGUCGACUUGGAGGUUGUUCCCUUGAGGAGUGGCUUCCGGAGCUAACGCGUUAAGUCGACCGCCUGGGGAGUACGGCCGCAAGGUUAAAACUCAAAUGAAUUGACGGGGGCCCGCACAAGCGGUGGAGCAUGUGGUUUAAUUCGAUGCAACGCGAAGAACCUUACCUACUCUUGACAUCCACAGAAUUCGGCAGAGAUGCCUUAGUGCCUUCGGGAACUGUGAGACAGGUGCUGCAUGGCUGUCGUCAGCUCGUGUUGUGAAAUGUUGGGUUAAGUCCCGCAACGAGCGCAACCCUUAUCCUUUGUUGCCAGCGGUUCGGCCGGGAACUCAAAGGAGACUGCCAGUGAUAAACUGGAGGAAGGUGGGGAUGACGUCAAGUCAUCAUGGCCCUUACGAGUAGGGCUACACACGUGCUACAAUGGCGCAUACAAAGAGAAGCGACCUCGCGAGAGCAAGCGGACCUCAUAAAGUGCGUCGUAGUCCGGAUCGGAGUCUGCAACUCGACUCCGUGAAGUCGGAAUCGCUAGUAAUCGUAGAUCAGAAUGCUACGGUGAAUACGUUCCCGGGCCUUGCACACACCGCCCGUCAAAA
RNAcentral lists this ribosomal RNA (592 nucleotides) under Enterobacterales bacterium. RNAcentral describes it as "bacterial SSU rRNA". It matches the Rfam family "Bacterial small subunit ribosomal RNA", at positions 810 to 1402 of the family's 1533-position model. The record is from RNAcentral. Lineage: Bacteria; Pseudomonadati; Pseudomonadota; Gammaproteobacteria; Enterobacterales.